AUUGAACGCUGGCGGCAGGCCUAACACAUGCAAGUCGAGCGGAUGAAGGGAGCUUGCUCCUGGAUUCAGCGGCGGACGGGUGAGUAAUGCCUAGGAAUCUGCCUGGUAGUGAGGGAUAACGUCCGGAAACGGGCGCUAAUACCGCAUACGUCCUGAGGGAGAAAGUGGGGGAUCUUCGGACCUCACGCUAUCAGAUGAGCCUAGGUCGGAUUAGCUAGUUGGUGGGGUAAAGGCCUACCAAGGCGACGAUCCGUAACUGGUCUGAGAGGAUGAUCAGUCACACUGGAACUGAGACACGGUCCAGACUCCUACGGGUGGCAGCAGUGGGGAAUAUUGGACAAUGGGCGAAAGCCUGAUCCAGCCAUGCCGCGUGUGUGAAGAAGGUCUUCGGAUUGUAAAGCACUUUAAGUUGGGAGGAAGGGCAGUAAGUUAAUACCUUGCUGUUUUGACGUUACCAACAGAAUAAGCACCGGCUAACUUCGUG
This 484-nucleotide ribosomal RNA is filed under the name uncultured bacterium. RNAcentral describes it as "partial 16S ribosomal RNA". It matches the Rfam family "Bacterial small subunit ribosomal RNA", at positions 30 to 507 of the family's 1533-position model. The record is from RNAcentral.